Molecule: ribosomal RNA, 468 nt
Filed under: uncultured bacterium
Lineage: Bacteria
Description: partial 16S ribosomal RNA
Rfam family: Bacterial small subunit ribosomal RNA
Source: RNAcentral
GACGAACGCUGGCGGCGUGCUUAACACAUGCAAGUCGAACGGAAAGGCCCUGCUUUUGUGGGGUGCUCGAGUGGCGAACGGGCGAGUAACACGUGAGUAACCUGCCCUUGACUUUGGGAUAACUUCAGGAAACUGGGGCUAAUACCGGAUAGGAGCUCCUGCUGCAUGGUGGGGGUUGGAAAGUUUCGGCGGUUGGGGAUGGACUCGCGGCUUAUCAGCUUGUUGGUGGGGUAGUGGCUUACCAAGGCUUUGACGGGUAGCCGGCCUGAGAGGGUGACCGGCCACAUUGGGACUGCGAUACGGCCCAGACUCCUACGGGAGGCAGCAGUGGGGAAUAUUGCACAAUGGGCGGAAGCCUGAUGCAGCAACGCCGCGUGCGGGAUGACGGCCUUCUGGUUGUAAACCGCUUUCGCCUGUGACGAAGCGUGAGUGACGGUAAUGGGUAAAGAAGCACCGGCUAACUACGUG